CUGCCUGCCUGCCUGCCUGCUCUGCGUUCAGGGAGGGCCACAGAUGUUUCAAGCAUGACAGGGUAGCAUUCACCACAUUUCUGACUCGUGCCAAGGAGGGGGAGGAGAGGUGAUUAAAUACUGUCUUCAGCAAAGGGCACAGGCUGCUGUUCCAGAGACCUGCCGGCACUGCACAGGAAACCCAAAUCAGCCAAGUCCUCCUGCCAACAAUGAGUCUUCAAUAAAGGAUAUACAGAACAAAAGAAUAAUACACCUCUCCAGAAGUGUUCCGACCAAGGGCAUGGUGUGGUGCCAGAAUGAUAAUCUCUGCGCUUCCAUUUUGUUCAUCAUUACAUUUUUUUGUCUGACAACAUGUUUAUGAUAGUUUCUCUUUCUGAAACAUGUGGAUAUUGGACUCUGAUUAACUGGGCUGCCUGUGCAACAUCUUCUCGUUGAAGGACAUAAGGAUUAAAUAAAUUCUUUAAGUCACCUUA
This is a long non-coding RNA of Notolabrus celidotus (New Zealand spotty), 473 nucleotides long. RefSeq lists it as uncharacterized. The record is from RefSeq and is a predicted model, not a curated record. The transcript is spliced from 2 exons. Lineage: Eukaryota; Metazoa; Chordata; Actinopteri; Labriformes; Labridae.